GUGAAUCAUCGAAUUUUUGAACGCAAAUUGCGCUUCCUGGCAUCCCGGGAAGUAUGCCUGUUUGAGGUUCAGUAUUAAUUAUACUCGGUUUAGUUACAAAUUGUGACGUUUUCGGAGUUUGGGCUUUCUUAACAUUUUUGGUUAAGAGACUUAAAAUUGACCUUUUUUACGCAUUUUUAAACAAACAUAUAUUUUUUUUAUUCGUCUAUUCUU
RNAcentral lists this unclassified non-coding RNA (213 nucleotides) under Glomeraceae sp. RNAcentral describes it as "partial contains 5.8S ribosomal RNA and internal transcribed spacer 2". The stretch from base 1 to 71 matches the Rfam family "5.8S ribosomal RNA", at positions 84 to 154 of the family's 154-position model. Lineage: Eukaryota; Fungi; Glomeromycota; Glomeromycetes; Glomerales; Glomeraceae. The record is from RNAcentral.